This 74-nucleotide transfer RNA is filed under the name Bacillota bacterium. RNAcentral's name for it is "tRNA-Gly". It matches the Rfam family "tRNA". Rfam says of the family: Transfer RNA (tRNA) molecules are approximately 80 nucleotides in length. Their secondary structure includes four short double-helical elements and three loops (D, anti-codon, and T loops). Further hydrogen bonds mediate the characteristic L-shaped molecular structure. tRNAs have two regions of fundamental functional importance: the anti-codon, which is responsible for specific mRNA codon recognition, and the 3' end, to which the tRNAs corresponding amino acid is attached (by aminoacyl-tRNA synthetases). tRNAs cope with the degeneracy of the genetic code in two manners: having more than one tRNA (with a specific anti-codon) for a particular amino acid; and 'wobble' base-pairing, i.e. permitting non-standard base-pairing at the 3rd anti-codon position. RNAcentral also lists the same sequence under 2 other names. The record is from RNAcentral. Lineage: Bacteria; Bacillati; Bacillota.
GCGGGUAUAGCUCAGUGGUAGAGCUCCAGCUUCCCAAGCUGGCUAUGUGGGUUCGAUUCCCAUUACCCGCUCCA